Molecule: unclassified non-coding RNA, 338 nt
Filed under: soil metagenome
Description: partial contains 5.8S ribosomal RNA, internal transcribed spacer 2, and large subunit ribosomal RNA
Rfam family: 5.8S ribosomal RNA (bases 1-120)
Source: RNAcentral
GAUGAAGAACGCAGCGAAAUGCGAUAAGUAAUGUGAAUUGCAGAAUUCAGUGAAUCAUCGAAUCUUUGAACGCACAUUGCGCCCGGUAGUAUUCUGCCGGGCAUGCCUGUUCGAGCGUCAUUUCAACCAUCAAGCCCCAGCGCUUGUGUUGGGGGCCUGCGGCUGCCGCAGCCCCCUAAAAGCAGUGGCGGGCUCGCUAUCACACCGAGUGCAGUAGUUCAUCUUCUCUCCGGUCUUGUGAGGCGGGUUCCGGCCGUGAAACACCCCACUACAUUCAAGGUUGACCUCGGAUCAGGUAGGAGUACCCGCUGAACUUAAGCAUAUCAAUAAGCGGAGGA